This 409-nucleotide ribosomal RNA is filed under the name uncultured prokaryote. RNAcentral's name for it is "bacterial SSU rRNA". It matches the Rfam family "Bacterial small subunit ribosomal RNA", at positions 355 to 776 of the family's 1533-position model. The record is from RNAcentral. RNAcentral also lists the same sequence under 1 other name.
UGGGGAAUAUUGCACAAUGGGCGAAAGCCUGAUGCAGCGACGCCGCGUGAGGGAUGACGGCCUUCGGGUUGUAAACCUCUUUCAGUAGGGAAGAAGCGAAAGUGACGGUACCUGCAGAAGAAGCGCCGGCUAACUACGUGCCAGCAGCCGCGGUAAUACGUAGGGCGCAAGCGUUAUCCGGAAUUAUUGGGCGUAAAGAGCUCGUAGGCGGUUUGUCGCGUCUGCUGUGAAAGGCCAGGGCUCAACCCUGGUUCUGCAGUGGGUACGGGCAGACUUGAGUGAUGUAGGGGAGACUGGAAUUCCUGGUGUAGCGGUGAAAUGCGCAGAUAUCAGGAGGAACACCGAUGGCGAAGGCAGGUCUCUGGGCAUUAACUGACGCUGAGGAGCGAAAGCAUGGGGAGCGAACAGG